Notolabrus celidotus (New Zealand spotty) is the source of this 817-nucleotide long non-coding RNA. RefSeq lists it as uncharacterized. The record is from RefSeq and is a predicted model, not a curated record. The transcript has 4 exons. Lineage: Eukaryota; Metazoa; Chordata; Actinopteri; Labriformes; Labridae.
UUGAAUGCAGUAACAAAGGUCUUCAGCCUAACAUCAGUUAGCUGUCAAAGCUCUCCCAGGUUUAUAUAAAGUAACAUAUGCUUUCUGCAAUGCAAAACAUAAAAAAGUUAAACUCAAACUGUCUCAUCUUGAAGUCAGGUAGUUCUCUGGAAAUUUGGAUAAUGUCAUAAUGUUCAUCAGGCACAAGUUUGUCCUGGGAUGGCUAAUCUCCAAGAUCCAUGUCCAACAGAGCCUGAGAAGAGGACACAGCAGGGGGCAGCUCUGAGGCGGGGAGAAUGGGAGAGACGGGAGGACUGAGAGGGGAACUGGGAGCUGUCACUGCAAGAAAAGAAAAGACGGCAUGAGUGGGUCUGGAAAAGACAUAGAUGCAUGUUGGCGGCCCCUCCAGUCUCAGCAGCCGAGUCUGUUUCUGCUGGAGCUUCCGCCUGUCAAAAAUGACACGUUUUCCUUGCCAGUGUUGCCAAAUGCUUUCUUAUGAUAACAAUGCUGGGUCUAUGUAAAUAACAUUACAAAUUGUACUUGCUUAUAUGUAAUGUGAUAACUUCUGUGGUGAUUUUCUGCUUCAUAAACAAAACAGAUUAAUUGACAUUGGUAUGGGAAGAGCAUGCCAAUUUCAGAUCUACAAUAAUGUUGCUUUUUAUAUAUUCAUUCUGACCUGUUUUCCAUAAUAACAAGGCAAGUAAAGUAACAAUUUCCACUCUAAAAUCUAUCUUUGUUACUCCAUUAAAGCACAAUAUCCUUUGUUCCAACUUUAAAAGCUUAUUUCCCAUGUCUGACUGAGUGACACAUACAAUAAAAUCCUCCGCUGAGCCUCCUA